RNAcentral lists this ribosomal RNA (253 nucleotides) under uncultured bacterium. Its description in RNAcentral is "partial 16S ribosomal RNA". It matches the Rfam family "Bacterial small subunit ribosomal RNA", at positions 524 to 776 of the family's 1533-position model. The record is from RNAcentral.
UACGGGGGGUGCGAGCGUUAUCCGGAAUUACUGGGUUUAAAGGGUGCGUAGGCGGCCUGAUAAGUCUGGGGUGAAAGGCCAGGGCUCAACCUUGGGACCGCCUCGGAUACUGUCGGGCUUGAGUGAGGUUGAGGUCGGCGGAAUGCGGCAUGUAGCGGUGAAAUGCAUAGAUAUGCCGUAGAACACCGAUUGCGAAGGCAGCUGACUGGACCUAUACUGACGCUGAGGCACGAAAGCGUGGGGAGCGAACGGG